GACGAUAGACAUAUAAUAAAAAAAACUUUUAAAGAUAAAAUAUAAUUAUUAAUAGGUCUAAUUACAACAUAUAUAAUACCAUAAUUAUCUAGAAUAAACUAUUAAUCAAAACAAGGAUUAGAUACCCUUUUAUUAAUAGCCUACUUAAAAGGUUGGAAAUUACGAACAAUAGUUUAAACACCAAAGAAUUUGGCGGUGCUUUAUUUUAUUAGGGGAACCUGUCCCAUAAACGAUAAUCCACGAAAAUCUUACCUAAUUUUGAAACUCAGUUAGUGUACUGCCGUCUUAAGUAUACCUUUAUGAGAGUAUACAGUAAAUUAAAUAUUAAUUUAACGUCAGGUCAAAGUGCAGCUUACAAUUAGGGGGAGAUGGGUUACAAUCUAAAAUAAAGAUACGGAAAAACAUAAUAAUUAUGUUUUAAAGGUGGACUUAAUAGUAAUUAAAAUAAUUUUUUAAUGAAUAAAAUACUAAGGCAUGCACACAUCGCCCGUCACUCCUUUAUACAGG
This 507-nucleotide ribosomal RNA is filed under the name Batracobdella algira. RNAcentral's name for it is "partial small subunit ribosomal RNA". Lineage: Eukaryota; Metazoa; Annelida; Clitellata; Rhynchobdellida; Glossiphoniidae. The record is from RNAcentral.